CAGGGAAUAUUGCACAAUGGGCGAAAGCCUGAUGCAGCAACGCCGCGUGAGGGAUGAAGGUCUUCGGAUUGUAAACCUCUUUUUCGGGGGAAGAGAAGGGACGGUACCCCGAGAAUAAGCAACGGCUAACUACGUGCCAGCAGCCGCGGUAAUACGUAGGUUGCGAGCGUUAUUCGGAUUUACUGGGCGUAAAGCGCACCGAGGUGGCUUCUUAAGUUGGAUGUGAAAUCUCCCGGCUUAACUGGGAGGCGCCAUUCAAAACUGGGGAGCUUGAGACCAGCAGGGGAAAGUGGAAUUCCCGGUGUAGUGGUGGAAUGCGUAGAGAUCGGGAGGAACACCAGUGGCGAAAGCGACUUUCUGGGCUGCGUCUGACACUCUAGUGCGAAAGCGUGGGGAGCAAACAGGAUUAGAUACCCCCGUAGUCC
This 425-nucleotide ribosomal RNA is filed under the name uncultured bacterium. Its description in RNAcentral is "bacterial SSU rRNA". It matches the Rfam family "Bacterial small subunit ribosomal RNA", at positions 355 to 796 of the family's 1533-position model. The record is from RNAcentral.